Molecule: small RNA, 775 nt
Filed under: Pongo abelii (Sumatran orangutan)
Lineage: Eukaryota; Metazoa; Chordata; Mammalia; Primates; Hominidae
Description: processed transcript
Source: RNAcentral
AGGCAGUGAGGUGGGCAAAACUGGUCAUACCUUUAGUGGUUCAUUCAGCACAAAAGGUACAUUUGCGGGGAGCAACUGCCCUGGAGAUGGGAAUGCCAUUAUUGCUUCAGAAACAGCAAGAAAUAGCAUCUAUUACGGAGCAGCUUAUGACUACUAAAUUAAUCUCAGAACUUCAGAAGCUAUUUAUGAGUAAAAAUGAGACUUACGUGUUAAAAUUAUGGCCUUUGUUUGUCAAACUACUUGGAAGGACACCCAGAGUGGCAAAGAAUUGGAGUCACACAACGUGCAUGUUUCCAGCUGAGGUCAAGCAAGGUUACACUCUGCCUUUUUUAGUUCUUAUACCUUAAACAGGUGUCCUUUUUAUAAUCCCUGUAAUGCCACAUUUUUCACUUUUCUGUGCUUUCCUGGUGGUUUCACUGUUUAAAUUUGGAACCCAAAGCUUGGGUCCAGGUGCUGUCUAGUUUGUGUUCCUAAGCAAAGGAAGGCUGUGAUAUACCCAGUGGUGAAAAUAAACUUUGUUCAGGCACGAUUUAUAGAGCUACUGGCUGUGAGUUUGAUGUUAGUGAUUCAGUAGUGUGAAAUAUCUUCUAAUAGAUAGACGUUAAGCAGGUUAUGUAUUGAACAGCUGACAAAAGUGUUGUGUCCAAAGAACCUAACCCUGUAUUUCCCAUGGGAUUGAUCACUCAGUAUUUGCCAAUUUAGUGUUCAAGGCUACUUUAUAUAAUAGAAAACCAUAACUACUAUGAAUAAUGAGAGAGAAUCAAUUGUAUGUUCA